UAGCGCUGGCGGCAUGCUUACACAUGCAGUCGAACGGCAGCGCGGGGCACCUGGCGGCGAGUGGCGAACGGGUGAGUAAUAUAUCGGAACGUACCCUGGAGUGGGGGAUAACGUAGCGAAAGUUACGCUAAUACCGCAUACGAUCUAAGGAUGAAAGUGGGGGAUUCGCAAGAACCUCAUGCUCGUGGAGCGGCCGAUAUCUGAUUAGCUAGUUGGUAGGGUAAAAGCCUACCAAGGCAUCGAUCAGUAGCUGGUCUGAGAGGACGACCAGCCACACUGGAACUGAGACACGGUCCAGACUCCUACGGGAGGCAGCAGUGGGGAAUUUUGGACAAUGGGCGAAAGCCUGAUCCAGCAAUGCCGCGUGAGUGAAGAAGGCCUUCGGGUUGUAAAGCUCUUUUGUCAGGGAAGAAACGGUUGUUCCUAAUACGGAUGACUAAUGACGGUACCUGAAGAAUAAGCACCGGCUAACUACGUGCCAGCAGCCGCGGUAAUACGUAGGGUGCAAGCGUUAAUCGGAAUUACUGGGCGUAAAGCGUGCGCAGGCGGUUAUGUAAGACAGAUGUGAAAUGCCCGGGCUUAACCUGGGAACUGCAUUUGUGACUGCAUGGCUAGAAUCUGGCAGAGGGGGGUAGAAUUCCACGUGUAGCAGUGAAAUGCGUAGAGAUGUGGAGGAACACCGAUGGCGAAGGCAGCCCCUGGGUCAAGAUUGACGCUCAUGCACGAAAGCGUGGGGAGCAAACAGGAUUAGAUACCCUGGUAGUCCAGCCCUAAACGAUGUCUACUAGUUGCCGGGUCUUAACUUGACUUGGUAACGGCAGUUACGCGUGAAAGUUAGACCGCUGGGGGAGUACGGGGCGCAAGGAUUAAAACUUCAAAGGGAA
This 884-nucleotide ribosomal RNA is filed under the name uncultured bacterium. RNAcentral's name for it is "bacterial SSU rRNA". It matches the Rfam family "Bacterial small subunit ribosomal RNA", at positions 31 to 910 of the family's 1533-position model. The record is from RNAcentral.